RNAcentral lists this ribosomal RNA (1005 nucleotides) under Stutzerimonas stutzeri. RNAcentral describes it as "Pseudomonas stutzeri partial 16S ribosomal RNA". It matches the Rfam family "Bacterial small subunit ribosomal RNA", at positions 1 to 995 of the family's 1533-position model. Lineage: Bacteria; Pseudomonadati; Pseudomonadota; Gammaproteobacteria; Pseudomonadales; Pseudomonadaceae. The record is from RNAcentral.
CCNNCAAUGUNUNGACUGAGCGGGCAGCCCCUNAACACAUGCCAAGCUUCGAGUCGGACNGUNGUGGUCCUUUCNGGCAUGCCGGCNCAGCGGNGAGACGGUGUCGUAGCUAAUGCCUAGGCAAUNUGNCUGCGUCACUGGCGCGGUAUAGACUNCGGUGGNAACACUCGAAGGCAUAAUACCCGCAUACGUUCCUACGGGUAGAAAGGCGGGGGAUCUUCGGACCUCGCGCUACCAGAUGAGCCUAGGUCGGAUUAGCUAGUUGGUGAGGUAAAGGCUCACCAAGGCGACGAUCCGUAGCUGGUCUGAGAGGAUGAUCAGCCACACUGGAACUGAGACACGGUCCAGACUCCUACGGGAGGCAGCAGUGGGGAAUAUUGGACAAUGGGCGAAAGCCUGAUCCAGCCAUGCCGCGUGUGUGAAGAAGGUCUUCGGAUUGUAAAGCACUUUAAGUUGGGAGGAAGGGCAGUAAGCUAAUACCUUGCUGUUUUGACGUUACCGACAGAAUAAGCACCGGCUAACUUCGUGCCAGCAGCCGCGGUAAUACGAAGGGUGCAAGCGUUAAUCGGAAUUACUGGGCGUAAAGCGCGCGUAGGUGGUUUGAUAAGUUGGAUGUGAAAGCCCCGGGCUCAACCUGGGAAUUGCAUCCAAAACUGUCUGACUAGAGUAUGGCAGAGGGUGGUGGAAUUUCCUGUGUAGCGGUGAAAUGCGUANAUAUAGGAAGGAACACCAGUGGCGAAGGCGACCACCUGGGCUAAUACUGACACUGAGGUGCNAAAGCGUGGGGGAGCAAACAGGAUUAGAUACCCUGGUAGUCCACGCCGUAACGAUGUCNACUANCCGUUGGGAUCCUUGAAAUCUUANNGGCGCAACUAACNNUUAANUCNACCGCUGGGGGAUACNGCCNNAGGNUAAACUNAAANAAUUGACGGGGNCCCCNCAANNGGGGNNNNUGNGNUUNAUUCAANNANCGNAAAACCUUACNGGCNUUNAANGCAAAAAUUU